GUAGCCAACACGCGCGUGACUUGCACGAUGGAGACAAUGAUAAUAUACACGACGCAUCCGUUGUCACCGACGUUGUGCAGCAUCUGCGUCCAAAGAUCAGAGACAUAUCUUACUUGAGUGUCUGCUCGCGAAAAUAAUAUACAAGUCGCCAGCGAAUAUAAUAAGAGUCCAUGGAGGAGGCGGCGGGGAGAAUAGGAAACGUGCGCAAGCGCUGCGAAAACCUCAACCGAUCAACGAAGACUUAUAUCGGUGUCUUUAUAUAUAUAUGUGUGUGUGUGUGUGUGUGUGGAGAGAGGUACACAACGCAUCGUGCAGGAUAUAACAUCAUUACGAUAAUUGAUAAAGAGAACAUACUUUUUAAAGCAGUGAAAAAGCGCCCUGUACCGGCUGUACCACUUUUAUAUAUUGUAAAUUGAAGAAUAAUCGUGCUCAAAUGAUGCCGUGUUUUAAAAAAUGAAAGGAAAACUCUUUGAUCGAAUUCUAUAGACCUUUUUUAUGGUUUUUUAGGUAUAAUCCAGCCAGGUAAAAUUUUAAUAUUAAAUUAUUAAUAUUUAUUGCUGUUUUUGAAUUUAGGUUUACGCACCCAUUGAUAAACGCAUUUAUAUUUCUUAUCGAUUUCGUCAUAAAUCCUUUAAUUUAUAGCUUUGUAUUAAAUUUUAAAAUUCACAUUCGGUUUCCUUACAUUCAUUACGAUUUGAAAAGUAUACAUUUUAAACAGUAGUUGCAUUAUUUUUGUAAACUCAUUAUAUCAAUAACAGAUCUCAAUUUUCACACAAUUGAUACGUCUUGUAUCUGUUAUGAUCUCAUCGUCUGAACGAUAUCAACUGAAUAAAUGUCCAUAACACGACCUUCCCGUCAAACGACGAUAUAAUUAUUAUAUCACUUAUUAUUUAAAAUGUAUCAUAAAUUGUGUAUCGUAUACAAUUUUUUUUUUAAGUUUUAGUUUAGAUUUAUUAAUAUUUAAAUUUAAAAUAAUAUAAUACGUAACAUAUUUUAUAACACAGCAUAAUAAUCAUAUUGAAAUACACCUGGCUUAUUGUAUACGUCGUAGAACCAAAUGAAUGAAAAAUCUUAAGAAAAAAUGUACGGCGGCGGACAAAAACUUAUCGGCUCAUCGUAUCAAAAGAAAAAGAGAUGCGAUCUGAAAUCACGCUAACCCUAUAAUAGAAUGAGGUAACAUCACCGGUAACCUCGCGCCGUCUGGGAUCCUGCCGUUCUAACCGACAUAAUAUUUAUAACUUUUUACACCCAUUGUAAACAGAUAGACACACACGCACAUACGACAUUGGUAUACAAACACUGAAACACAAUACGAAUCGGUUGCGUUUGUUUUCGAACACAUAUUGUUAUGCGUGUGUAUAUAUAUUGAAUAUACAAUAUAUAUAUAUAAUAUAAACGUGUGUGUUACUGUGUUAUGUUUACGCGAGUUUGUGUGUGCGUACAAAAGGACCACGAAAAAUUUGAAUACGACCGCAACCAAAGGUCAGAACACACACAGCAUUUAUAAAUGCACACGACGAAAACAACAAUGCUCGAAUAAAAAAAAAAAAAAAAAA
Molecule: long non-coding RNA, 1556 nt
Filed under: Rhopalosiphum maidis (corn leaf aphid)
Lineage: Eukaryota; Metazoa; Arthropoda; Insecta; Hemiptera; Aphididae
Description: uncharacterized LOC113554981
Source: RNAcentral